UACAGAGGUCUCAAGCGUUGUUCGGAUUUAUUGGGCGUAAAGGGCGCGUAGGCGGCGGGGUAAGUCGGGGGUGAAAUCUCAGGGCUCAACCCUGAAACUGCACUUGAUACUGCUCUGCUUGAGGACUGGAGAGGAGACUGGAAUUCACGGUGUAGCAGUGAAAUGCGUAGAUAUCGUGAGGAAGACCAGUGGCGAAGGCGGGUCUCUGGACAGUUCCUGACGCUGAGGCGCGAAGGCCAGGGGAGCAAACGGG
This 253-nucleotide ribosomal RNA is filed under the name uncultured bacterium. RNAcentral describes it as "partial 16S ribosomal RNA". It matches the Rfam family "Bacterial small subunit ribosomal RNA", at positions 524 to 776 of the family's 1533-position model. The record is from RNAcentral.